AGCUCCAAUAGCGUAUAUUAAAGUUGUUGCAGUUAAAAAGCUCGUAGUCGAAUUUUGGAGCUGAGGCGGGCGGUCUGCCGUUUCGGUAUGUACUGCCUCGCCUGGCUCUUUUUCCUGGGGAACUGUCGGUGCGCUUCGGUGGGUCGGCAGCAAGCCAGGGUGUUUACCUUGAAAAAAUUAGAGUGUUUAAAGCAGGCGCAAGCUUGAAUAUAUUAGCAUGGAAUAACUGAAUAGGACUUUGGUCUUAUUUUGUUGGUUUAAAGACCAAGGUAAUGGUUAAUAGGAACAGUCGGGGACAUUUGAAUUGCUGAGCUAGAGGUGAAAUUCUUGGAUUUCAGCAAGUCAAACUAGGGCGAAAGCAUCUGUCAAGGAUGUUUUCA
Molecule: ribosomal RNA, 380 nt
Filed under: uncultured eukaryote
Lineage: Eukaryota
Description: SSU rRNA
Rfam family: Eukaryotic small subunit ribosomal RNA
Source: RNAcentral